CAGUAGCGUAUAUUAAAGUUGUUGCAGUUAAAAUGCUCGUAGUUGAAGUUCGGAUGCAGCAGAGCUUGGAAACGCUGUUAUGGUGCUUCCGUUGCUUUUGCUUGUCCACAGUGCGUUGCAAGUACGUAUGUGCUUGUGCGUGCAUUUUACCUUGAGAAACAUAGGGUGUUCCACGCAUGUUACGGCAUGAAUAUUCCAGCAUGGGAUAAUCUGGUACGACUUCCAAUCUGCCAUUUUGGUUCGUAGGUUGGAAGUAAUGAUUAAUAGGGACUGUCGGGGGCAUUGGUAUUUGACUGUCAGAGGUGAAAUUCUUAGAUUCGUUGAGGACCAACCACUGCGAAAGCAUUUGUCAAGGAUGUCUCCAUUAA
Molecule: ribosomal RNA, 368 nt
Filed under: uncultured eukaryote
Lineage: Eukaryota
Description: partial 18S ribosomal RNA
Rfam family: Eukaryotic small subunit ribosomal RNA
Source: RNAcentral